Molecule: ribosomal RNA, 339 nt
Filed under: Iranian peach phytoplasma PP81
Lineage: Bacteria; Bacillati; Mycoplasmatota; Mollicutes; Acholeplasmatales; Acholeplasmataceae
Description: bacterial SSU rRNA
Rfam family: Bacterial small subunit ribosomal RNA
Source: RNAcentral
UUAUGACCUGGGCUACAAACGUGAUACAAUGGCUGUUACAAAGGGUAGCUGCAAACGUAAGUUCUUGGCCAAUCCCCAAAAACAGUCUCAGUCCGGAUUGAAGUCUGCAACUCGACUUCAUGAAGUUGGAAUCGCUAGUAAUCGCGAAUCAGCAUGUCGCGGUGAAUACGUUCUCGGGGUUUGUACACACCGCCCGUCAAACCACGAAAGUUGGCAAUACCCCAAAAUGGUAGCCUAACUCGUUUAUUCGAGAGGGCGCUGUCUAAGGUAGGGUCGAUGAUUGGGGUUAAGUCGUAACAAGGUAUCCCUACCGGAAGGUGGGGAUGGAUCACCUCCUUU